RNAcentral lists this ribosomal RNA (580 nucleotides) under uncultured bacterium. RNAcentral describes it as "bacterial SSU rRNA". It matches the Rfam family "Bacterial small subunit ribosomal RNA", at positions 52 to 645 of the family's 1533-position model. The record is from RNAcentral.
CACAUGCAAGUCGAACGAGAGAUGAGGAGCUUGCUCUUCAAAUCGAGUGGCGAACGGGUGAGUAACGCGUGAGGAACCUGCCUCAAAGAGGGGGACAACAGUUGGAAACGACUGCUAAUACCGCAUAAGCCCACGGCUCGGCAUCGAGCAGGGGGAAAAGGAGCAAUCCGCUUUGAGAUGGCCUCGCGUCCGAUUAGCUAGUUGGUGAGGUAACGGCCCACCAAGGCGACGAUCGGUAGCCGGACUGAGAGGUUGAACGGCCACAUUGGGACUGAGACACGGCCCAGACUCCUACGGGAGGCAGCAGUGGGGAAUAUUGCACAAUGGGGGAAACCCUGAUGCAGCGACGCCGCGUGGAGGAAGAAGGUCUUCGGAUUGUAAACUCCUGUUGUUGAGGAAGAUAAUGACGGUACUCAACAAGGAAGUGACGGCUAACUACGUGCCAGCAGCCGCGGUAAAACGUAGGUCACAAGCGUUGUCCGGAAUUACUGGGUGUAAAGGGAGCGCAGGCGGGAGAACAAGUUGGAAGUGAAAUCCAUGGGCUCGACCCAUGAACUGCUUUCAAAACUGUUUUUCUUGA